Molecule: ribosomal RNA, 492 nt
Filed under: uncultured bacterium
Lineage: Bacteria
Description: partial 16S ribosomal RNA
Rfam family: Bacterial small subunit ribosomal RNA
Source: RNAcentral
AGUGAACGCUGGCGGUAGGCCUAAUACAUGCAAGUCGAACGGCAGCACAGUAAGCGUUCGCCUCUACGGGUGGCGAGUGGCGGAUGGGUGAGGAAUACAUCGGCAUCUAAUUUUUCGUGGGGGACAACGUAGGGAAACAUAUGCUAACACAGCAUAUGAUCUACGGGUUAAAGCAGUGGUUCUUCGGACCUUGCGUGACAGUUUGAGCCGAUGUCGGAUUAGCUAGUUGGCGGGGUAAAGGCUCACCAAGGCGACGAUCCGUAGCUGGUCUGAGCGGAUGAUCGGCCACACUGGAACUGAGACACGGUCCAGACUCCUACGGGAGGCAGCAGUGGGGAAUAUUGGACAAUGGGCGAAAGCCUGAUCCAGCCAUGCCGCGUGAGUGAAGAAGGCCUUCGGAUUGUAAAACUCUUUUAUUAGGAAAGAAAAACAGCGUAAGUAAACCCCGCUGUUCUGACGGUACCCAAAGAGUAAGCACCGGCUAACUACGUG